CCUACGGGAGACUGCAGUGGGGAAUAUUGCACAAUGGGCGAAACCCUGAUGCAGCGACGCCGCGUGAGUGAAGAAGUAUUUCGGUAUGUAAAGCUCUAUCAGCAGGGAAGAAAAUGACGGUACCUGAUUAAGAAGCCCCGGCUAACUACGUGCCAGCCGCCGCGGUACGACGUAGGGGGCAAGCGUUAUCCGGAUUUACUGGGUGUAAAGGGAGCGUAGACGGCAGCGCAAGUCUGAAGUGAAAUGCCGGGGCUUAACCCCGGAACUGCUUUGGAGACUGGGCAGCUAGAGUGCAGGAGAGGUAAGUGGAAUGCCUAGUGUAGCGGUGAAAUGCGUAGAUAUUAGGCGGAACACCAGUGGCGAAGGCGGCUUACUGGACUGUAACUGACGUUGAGGCUCGAAAGCGUGGGGAGCAAACAGGAUGAGAUACCCCUGUAGUC
RNAcentral lists this ribosomal RNA (440 nucleotides) under uncultured bacterium. RNAcentral's name for it is "partial 16S ribosomal RNA". It matches the Rfam family "Bacterial small subunit ribosomal RNA", at positions 338 to 795 of the family's 1533-position model. The record is from RNAcentral.